AGGGCACUCUCGCCGACCGCACGUUAUCACCUGCGGGUCCACUCGGGGCGACUACCGUCAACCUGCCUCCACCGUCACCCGCCACCCUCGCCACAAGUGUGAACAUGCGUACAUUCCUCAUUUGGCCACUACUCACCUUUGAGGACUUGCUGGGUUAAUUCUCUGCUGCCACACUAUGAAGCACAUAAUGUCAAGCACUGACCUAGGAACACCAGUGAACCUGACUUACAGACUUCCUAAGGGCUCCUG
Molecule: long non-coding RNA, 249 nt
Filed under: Capra hircus (goat)
Lineage: Eukaryota; Metazoa; Chordata; Mammalia; Artiodactyla; Bovidae
Description: lncRNA (ENSCHIG00000002783.1)
Source: RNAcentral